UUUAUUUUAUUUAAAGGCCUUUUUUUAUAGUUUUGCUUUUACUUUUGUCAGUUUUGAUCCUCCAUAAAAUCUUCAUUAACUAGUUUACAUUGUCAGUGUGAAUAUUCUUUUGAAAAAGUAUGAAAAAUGAGCUGAACAUACUGAACACAUCAGCUUUGGCUCUACAGCAAUUGAUGGUUGGUUUGGUUUUGUUCUUUUGCCUCACCUAGAUGGUUCAGAUUACCAUACGAGUCUUAACGUCAGAGAAAGAGAACUUGUCAAAACUGAAUUAUUGAUAUUUGCAAAGUCACGCCAAGGGAUUUAGAUCAAGUUUACAUCCGGAGCACCAUUUUGUGUUUCUUUUUUAGCUAUUUGGAGGUUGACUUGCUAGUGUGCUUUGGAUCAUAGACAUGUGACAUGAUCCUGCUUGAGCUGACAUUCAAAAACAAAUGGUGGGAUAUUCCACAUUUUUCACUUUUUUAAUUUAUAAGAAAAAAUAAUGGACACAUAUUAUCAUACCACUACCACCAUGUUUGAUGUUUUUUUCUGAAAUUGUUUGGUAGUUUUACGCUGAUGUCACGAGCCUUGAAAAAAGUUUAACGUUUUUCUUGAUGAAUCAGAGAAUAUUUUUUUAAAUGUUUUAGGAACAUCUAGAUUUUUUUAUUUAUUUUUUUUUUAUAAAUGCGAGAUGCGCCUUAAUGUUCUUCUUGAUCAGCAGUGUUUUUUUGUUUUGUUUUUUUUGUGAAUAAUAUAAUAGUGAAUAAUAAUAACAGUUUUCCUUUUGCCUAAGAAAGGACUUUAUAAGUCUCUCCAGAGUGGUAUCAAAAGUAACUUUUUCUUUUUUUCCCCCGCAAAAUUAAACCAAAAUGCA
Poecilia reticulata (guppy) is the source of this 850-nucleotide non-coding RNA. Lineage: Eukaryota; Metazoa; Chordata; Actinopteri; Cyprinodontiformes; Poeciliidae. The record is from RefSeq and is a predicted model, not a curated record.